AAGCUCUUCGGAGUGGAUUAGUGGCGAACGGGUGAGUAACACGUGGGAAAUCUGCCCUGCACUCUGGGACAAGCCUUGGAAACGAGGUCUAAUACCGGAUAUGACCUUCCUCUGCAUGGGGGUUGGUGGAAAGCUCCGGCGGUGCAGGAUGAUCCCGCGGCCUAUCAGCUUGUUGGUGGGGUAAUGGCCUACCAAGGCGACGACGGGUAGCCGGCCUGAGAGGGCGACCGGCCACACUGGGACUGAGACACGGCCCAGACUCCUACGGGAGGCAGCAGUGGGGAAUAUUGCACAAUGGGCGAAAGCCUGAUGCAGCGACGCCGCGUGAGGGAUGACGGCCUUCGGGUUGUAAACCUCUUUCAGCAGGGAAGAAGCGCAAGUGACGGUACCUGCAGAAGAAGCACCGGCUAACUACGUGCCAGCAGCCGCGGUAAUACGUAGGGUGCGAGCGUUGUCCGGAAUUAUUGGGCGUAAAGAGCUCGUAGGCGGCUUGUCGCGUCGGUUGUGAAAGCCCGGGGCUUAACCCCGGGUCUGCAUUCGAUACGGGCAGGCUUGAGUGUGGUAGGGGAGAUCGGAAUUCCUGGUGUAGCGGUGAAAUGCGCAGAUAUCAGGAGGAACACCGGUGGCGAAGGCGGAUCUCUGGGCCAUUACUGACGCUGA
This 660-nucleotide ribosomal RNA is filed under the name Kitasatospora gansuensis. RNAcentral's name for it is "bacterial SSU rRNA". It matches the Rfam family "Bacterial small subunit ribosomal RNA", at positions 73 to 749 of the family's 1533-position model. The record is from RNAcentral. Lineage: Bacteria; Bacillati; Actinomycetota; Actinomycetes; Kitasatosporales; Streptomycetaceae.